This 812-nucleotide ribosomal RNA is filed under the name Cordyceps javanica. RNAcentral describes it as "LSU rRNA". It matches the Rfam family "Eukaryotic large subunit ribosomal RNA", at positions 84 to 928 of the family's 3401-position model. The record is from RNAcentral. Lineage: Eukaryota; Fungi; Ascomycota; Sordariomycetes; Hypocreales; Cordycipitaceae. RNAcentral also lists the same sequence under 2 other names.
UAACGGCGAGUGAAGCGGCAACAGCUCAAAUUUGAAAUCUGGCCCUCGGGUCCGAGUUGUAAUUUGUAGAGGAUGCUUUUGGCGAGGUGCCUUCCGAGUUCCCUGGAACGGGACGCCAUAGAGGGUGAGAGCCCCGUCUGGUCGGACACCGAGCCUCUGUAAAGCUCCUUCGACGAGUCGAGUAGUUUGGGAAUGCUGCUCAAAAUGGGAGGUAUAUGUCUUCUAAAGCUAAAUAUUGGCCAGAGACCGAUAGCGCACAAGUAGAGUGAUCGAAAGAUGAAAAGCACUUUGAAAAGAGGGUUAAAAAGUACGUGAAAUUGUUGAAAGGGAAGCGCCUAUGACCAGACUUGAGCCCGGUGAAUCAUCCAGCGUUCUCGCUGGUGCACUUUGCCGGGCCCAGGCCAGCAUCAGUUUGGCGCGGGGGAUAAAGGUGACGGGAAUGUGGCUCCCUCGGGAGUGUUAUAGCCCGCUACGUAAUACCCUGCGCCGGACUGAGGUACGCGCAUUGCAAGGAUGCUGGCGUAAUGGUCAUCAGCGACCCGUCUUGAAACACGGACCAAGGAGUCGUCUUCGUAUGCGAGUGUUCGGGUGUCAAACCCCUACGCGUAAUGAAAGUGAACGCAGGUGAGAGCUUCGGCGCAUCAUCGACCGAUCCUGAUGUUCUCGGAUGGAUUUGAGUAAGAGCAUACGGGGCCGGACCCGAAAGAAGGUGAACUAUGCCUGUAUAGGGUGAAGCCAGAGGAAACUCUGGUGGAGGCUCGCAGCGGUUCUGACGUGCGAAUCGAUCGUCAAAUAUGGGCAUGGGGGCGAAA